CCUGCAAGGGACACCACCCAGCAGGGGUUCAGGGCAGCCUGUCCUUCCAGCUUCUCCUCCACUUCCUCUCCCUCCUCCUCUACCAGCUCGUCCAGCCCCAAGACCCACUUGCUCCUUAGCCCAUCUCUCCCAUCCCUUGGCUCAACUUUUUACAAGUUCUUGUUAACUUGCUUUUUCACUCACUUGUCUAGACUCAGGGGCACAGUGGGACCUCUGGAAGACAUCAGACUGUGACUUGGAAGACAUCAGACUGUGCUGGUUGUGUAGCCCUGGGCAGGUCAUGUACUCUCUCUGAGCUUUGGUUUCCCCAUCAGUGAGGAUGCAGCCGGGCGUAGAGGCACCUCCUGCAACCCCCAGGAACCCACCUGGCCCCAGACGAGCUCUCCCAACCCGAUGAAUAUGCACCACAUCCACUGGUCCAGCUGCAGCGGCGAGCAGCUGAAGGGCUUCCCUCCAAACUGCACGAUCACUAUCUGGAGGUCAAAGGGAGCAGAGACACAGGCCCUCAGCGGCCGGCACAGAGGGCUGGGGUGCUCACUGCCCAGCCCAGCCCAGGUGAGGGCAGGGGCCUGGCUACCUGGAUGGCGAAGGUGCCCAGCACGAUGGUGCAGAAGAUGGGAUUCCGGAAGAUGCCAUCGAAGACGUUGCGCUCGCCAUGGAUCUUUCGGGCGUUGAUCUCAUUGAAGAGCUGCAUCAUGACGAAGGUGUUGAAGAUGAUGGUGUAGUGCUCUGAGGGUGGUGAGUGCAGGGGGGCGUUCCUCCCACUGUCGAUCUGGAACAUCUUCUCGCCUGCCAAGCCGAGAGGGCAGGGGCUGGGCUGGGAGCAGCAGAGGAGGGAGGCACGGCUGGAAGCAAGGGGCAGGGUACAGCCCGCACUGCUGCCUGGUCAGUGAGGGAAGGGUCAGCAAAGCCCUUUUCCUAAGGGGCAGGGGGCAAAGACCUUGGGGAGCUGUCUUCCGCCUUUCCUGUGGAAAUCUGAGAAAGGUGGAAUGCCAGUUGCAUACUAGGUGACAUUGCUUAUAAGAAGUGACCCUAGAUUGGCAAGUGCAUCUGGACCGGGAGGACAAGAAAACCUGUGGGAAGCUGCUAUGGUUUGCCAGUGUCCCCCAAAGGCUCAAGUGAUAAAGGCUUGGUCCCUAUCCCACAGUGCUAUUGGGGUACUUUCAAGAGGUGAAGCCUAAUGUGGGGGUCUUACGGUCCCUGGGAUAUGCUAUCAAAGGGGAUUCUGAGACCCCAGCCUCUUCCUCUUCCUCUCUUACACUUCCCCUCCAUGUUGGGCAGUUUCCUCCAGCAUGUACCCCCUCACCACAGGCCUAAAAGCAACAGACUGACCAUAGACUGAAACCUCCAAAACUGUAAGCCAAAAAUAAACAUUUCCUCUUUUCAA
Molecule: long non-coding RNA, 1387 nt
Organism: Ictidomys tridecemlineatus (thirteen-lined ground squirrel)
Lineage: Eukaryota; Metazoa; Chordata; Mammalia; Rodentia; Sciuridae
Source: RefSeq, a predicted model, not a curated record